UGGUGGGGUAACGGCCCACCAAGGCGACGACGGGUAGCUGGUCUGAGAGGACGACCAGCCACACUGGAACUGAGAUACGGUCCAGACUCCUACGGGAGGCAGCAGUGGGGAAUAUUGCACAAUGGGCGAAAGCCUGAUGCAGCGACGCCGCGUGAGGGAUGACGGCCCUCGGGUUGUAAACCUCUUUCGGCAGGGACGAAGCGAAAGUGACGGUACCUGCAGAAGAAGUCCCGGCUAACUACGUGCCAGCAGCCGCGGUAAGACGUAGGGGACGAGCGUUGUCCGGAUUUAUUGGGCGUAAAGCGCGCGUAGGCGGCUAUGCAAGUCGGUUGUGAAAUCCCGGGGCUCAACCCCGGGACUGCGUCCGAUACUGUGUGGCUAGAGGUAGGUAGGGGAGAUCGGAAUUCCUGGUGUAGCGGUGAAAUGCGCAGAUAUCAGGAGGAACACCGGUGGCGAAGGCGGAUCUCUGGGCCUUACCUGACGCUCAGGCGCGAAAGCUAGGGGAGCGAACAGGAUUAGAUACCCUGGUAGUCCUAGCCGUAAACGUUGGGUGCUAGUGUGGGCGGAUAU
Molecule: ribosomal RNA, 570 nt
Filed under: uncultured Actinomycetes bacterium
Lineage: Bacteria; Bacillati; Actinomycetota; Actinomycetes
Description: bacterial SSU rRNA
Rfam family: Bacterial small subunit ribosomal RNA
Source: RNAcentral